UACGGAGGGUGCGAGCGUUGUCCGGAAUCAUUGGGCGUAAAGGGCGCGUAGGUGGCGGGACAAGCGUGCGGUGAAAGCUCGGGGCUCAACCCCGAGUCGGCCGUGCGAACUGUUUUGCUGGAGCACUGUAGAGGCAGGCGGAAUUCCGGGUGUAGCGGUGGAAUGCGUAGAGAUCCGGAAGAACACCGGUGGCGAAGGCGGCCUGCUGGGCAGUUGCUGGCACUGAGGCGCGACAGCGUGGGGGAGCAAACAGGG
RNAcentral lists this ribosomal RNA (255 nucleotides) under uncultured bacterium. RNAcentral describes it as "partial 16S ribosomal RNA". It matches the Rfam family "Bacterial small subunit ribosomal RNA", at positions 524 to 777 of the family's 1533-position model. The record is from RNAcentral.